This 273-nucleotide long non-coding RNA is filed under the name Elaeis guineensis (African oil palm). Its description in RNAcentral is "long non-coding RNA (EGUI_LNC002967)". Lineage: Eukaryota; Viridiplantae; Streptophyta; Magnoliopsida; Arecales; Arecaceae. The record is from RNAcentral.
GGUGAUAGUGGGUUAUUGUGGAGAUCAUUUUUCAUGGGUUGAUAAUGAAAAUUAAUAUUGUCAGUGGGUGAUCAUAUUAGAAAGUAUCAUUAGUGGUGGAUAAUAUGGUGAGAUCAUUAUCGAUGGUGGAUCAUUUUAGAGUAUCACUGAUGGUGGCGAUGAUGGAGAUCAUUAAUGGUGAUAGCUAUAGUAGAGAUCACUAAUCAUGGUGGGUGGUGGUAAAGAUUGUUAACAAAAAUAGGGAGUUAUAGAGAUUGAGAUUGUUGGUGAUGG